CCUGCUUCUUGUUGUCCUGGGAAUUACUGCUAUCACAAUCUUUCUCGGAAAUUUUCUUAUCCACAAAUGCAGGGCAAUCUCUCCCCUUUUCCUCUCUACCUUCAAAAGCAGGAUCCAAAUUUUCUUUAUCUUCAUAGGUAGAUCCAUGGUUCCUUUUCUGAUUAGAUGGAGAUAGCCGAGAUGCUCUGUGUGUCUCAUUCUCAUCAAACAUAACGUCCAACCUUGAAAACUCCUUGGUCAAACUAGAUGUCAUGUCAAUCUCAAGUUUUUUGUCAACUCUUCUAUCAGACAAAGGUGAUAACAAAUCACGAUUUCGUUUCUUCAAAAUGGAUGGUGUACCGGAAAAAGUCCUAGCGGCACUCUUCAGCACGGCAU
RNAcentral lists this unclassified non-coding RNA (375 nucleotides) under Hevea brasiliensis (rubber tree). The record is from RNAcentral. Lineage: Eukaryota; Viridiplantae; Streptophyta; Magnoliopsida; Malpighiales; Euphorbiaceae.